UGCAGAUGCUGAAAUCAAUAAAGUGUUGGUGGAACUCUGCAGGUUAGGCUGCAUCAGUGGAGGGAAUUAACAGAUGACAUUUCUUCUGAAGAAUGAUGCUGAACCAAAACAUCACCUGUCCAUUUCCUUCCUGGUCAUCCAG
Amblyraja radiata (thorny skate) is the source of this 142-nucleotide long non-coding RNA. RefSeq lists it as uncharacterized. NCBI's taxonomy places the organism in Eukaryota, Metazoa, Chordata, Chondrichthyes, Rajiformes, Rajidae. The record is from RefSeq and is a predicted model, not a curated record. The transcript is spliced from 3 exons.